RNAcentral lists this ribosomal RNA (533 nucleotides) under Neophocaena phocaenoides (Indo-Pacific finless porpoise). RNAcentral describes it as "partial 16S ribosomal RNA". It matches the Rfam family "Bacterial large subunit ribosomal RNA", at positions 1850 to 2605 of the family's 2925-position model. The record is from RNAcentral. Lineage: Eukaryota; Metazoa; Chordata; Mammalia; Artiodactyla; Phocoenidae.
AGGCACUGCCUGCCCAGUGACUUAAUCGUUAAACGGCCGCGGUAUUUUGACCGUGCAAAGGUAGCAUAAUCACUUGUUCUCUAAAUAAGGACUUGUAUGAAUGGCCACACGAGGGUUUUACUGUCUCUUACUUUUAAUCAGUGAAAUUGACCUCCCCGUGAAGAGGCGGGGAUAAUAAAAUAAGACGAGAAGACCCUAUGGAGCUUUAAUUAAUCAACCCAAAAAUCACAAAACAGUACCGCCUGAGGGAUAACAAAAUUUUAUAUGGGUUGACAAUUUCGGUUGGGGUGACCUCGGAGCACAAAAAACCCUCCGAGUGAUUAAAACCUAGGCCUACUGGCCAAAGUGUAAUAUCACUUAUUGAUCCAAGUUUUUGAUCAACGGAACAAGUUACCCUAGGGAUAACAGCGCAAUCCUAUUCUAGAGUCCAUAUCGACAAUAGGGUUUACGACCUCGAUGUUGGAUCAGGACAUCCUAAUGGUGCAGCAGCUAUUAAGGGUUCGUUUGUUCAACGAUUAAAGUCCUACGUGAUC